Molecule: long non-coding RNA, 203 nt
Filed under: Gossypium raimondii (Peruvian cotton)
Lineage: Eukaryota; Viridiplantae; Streptophyta; Magnoliopsida; Malvales; Malvaceae
Description: long non-coding RNA (GRAI_LNC008504)
Source: RNAcentral
UUUUGAUGAUUCUUUGUCUACAAUAUUUUUUUGUUUAUUUAUAUAUAUAUAUUUGAUAAGGACAAUAUUAACCAUUUGGUUUAUUGGAUAUUAUGAAGUGUUAUUCAAAAAUCCCGGAUCCGUACCCCGACUUUUGGAAGUGUGCGAUUGUACAAUCGAUUAUAUAAGUAUUUCACCAAAUCAUAAAUUGAGGGUUAUUCAUU